Molecule: non-coding RNA, 289 nt
Organism: Paramuricea clavata
Lineage: Eukaryota; Metazoa; Cnidaria; Anthozoa; Malacalcyonacea; Plexauridae
Source: the annotation of a GenBank genome assembly
AAAAAAAAAAAUGUACACCCUUUUCGUACUUGCCAAUUCACAGCCCUGGCACAAACGUCUUUAGCAAAAUAUUCAAGAGAGAAUGGAAAGUACGAACAGGAGCACUUUUCCAUCCGCGUUAUGCAAAUUUGAGGUUUCACCACAUUCAUUCGCACUUAACAUCUCCAUAUUCGCAAACCUUAAUUUCCAAUUAGCCUUUCUCACGCCGCCAUUUUUGGGUGGCAUUUCAGCCGAAGUCUGCAAGAUAUGUCCACAUAACAGCGACUUAUUAUAACUUUUUCCACGAAUG